AUUGAACGCUGGCGGCAGGCCUAACACAUGCAAGUCGAGCGAGCGGCGGACGGGUGAGUAAUGCCUGGGAAUUGCCCAGUCGAGGGGGAUAACAGUUGGAAACGACUGCUAAUACCGCAUACGAUUGGAUUGCCCAGGUGGGAUUAGCUAGUUGGUGAGGUAAUGGCUCACAAAGGCGACGAUCCCUAGCUGGUCUGAGAGGAUGGUCAGCCCAACUGGAACGGAGAAACGGCCCAGACCCCUACGGAGGGCAGCAUGGGGGAAUAUGGGAAAAUGGGGGAAAUCCUGAUGCAGCCAUGCGGCGUGUGGGAAGAAGGCCUUCGGGUUGUAAAGCCCUUUCAGCGGGGAGGCGUUACUCGCAGAAGAAGCACCGGCUAACUCCGUGCCAGCAGCCGCGGUAAUAC
This 404-nucleotide ribosomal RNA is filed under the name uncultured bacterium. RNAcentral's name for it is "partial 16S ribosomal RNA". It matches the Rfam family "Bacterial small subunit ribosomal RNA", at positions 29 to 526 of the family's 1533-position model. The record is from RNAcentral.